UAGAGUUUGAUCCUGGCUCAGAACGUACGCUGGCGGCACGCCUAACACAUGCAAGUCGAACGAAGUAGCAAUACUUAGUGGCAGACGGGUGAGUAACAUGUAGGUAUCUGCCCUUUGGCCUGGAAUAACACGAGGAAACUUGUGCUAAUACCGGAUAAGUCUUUACGGAGAAAGCUUUAUGCACCAUUGGAUGAGCCUGCACUUGAUUAGUUUGUUGGUGGGGUAAUGGCCUACCAAGACUGUGAUCAAUAGCUGAUUUGAGAGGAUGAUCAGCCACAUUGGGACUGAGACACGGCCCAAACUCCUACGGGAGGCAGCAGUGGGGAAUCUUGCACAAUGGAGGAAACUCUGAUGCAGCGAUGCCGCGUGAGUGAAGAAGGCCCUUGGGUUGUAAAGCUCUUUCGUCGGGGAAGAAAAUGACUGUACCCGAAUAAGAAGGUCCGGCUAACUUCGUGCCAGCAGCCGCGGUAAUACGAAGGGACCUAGCGUAGUUCGGAAUUACUGGGCUUAAAGAGUUCGUAGGUGGUUGAAAAAGUUAGUGGUGAAAUCCCAGAGCUUAACUCUGGAACUGCCAUUAAAACUUUUCAGCUAGAGUAUGAUAGAGGAAAGCAGAAUUUCUAGUGUAGAGGUGAAAUUCGUAGAUAUUAGAAAGAAUACCAAUUGCGAAGGCAGCUUUCUGGAUCAUUACUGACACUGAGGAACGAAAGCAUGGGUAGCGAAGAGGAUUAGAUACCCUCGUAGUCCAUGCCGUAAACGAUGUGUGUUAGACGUUGGAAAUUUAUUUUCAGUGUCGCAGGGAAACCGAUAAACACACCGCCUGGGGAGUACGACCGCAAGGUUAAAACUCAAAUGAAUUGACGGGGACCCGCACAAGUAGUGGAGCAUGUGGUUUAAUUCGAAGAUACGCGCAGAACCUUACCAACACUUGACAUGUUCGUCGCGACUUUAAGAGAUUAAAGUUUUCGGUUCGGCCGGACGAAACACAGGUGCUGCAUGGCUGUCGUCAGCUCGUGUCGUGAGAUGUUGGGUUAAGUCCCGCAACGAGCGCAACCCUCACUUUUAGUUGCCAUCAUUAAGUUGGGCACUCUGAAAGAACUGCCAGUGAUAAGCUGGAGGAAGGUGGGGAUGACGUCAAGUCCUCAUGGCCCUUACGUGUUGGGCUACACACGUGCUACAAUGGUAUCUACAACAGGAAGCAAGACUGCGAAGUUAAGCAAAUCCCUAAAAGAUACCUCAGUUCGGAUUGCACUCUGCAACUCGAGUGCAUGAAGCUGGAAUUACUAGUAAUCGUGGAUCAGCGUGCCACGGUGAAUGCGUUCCCGGGUCUUGUACACACCGCCCGUCACACCAUGGGAGUUGGUUCUACCUUAAGGCAAGGUUUUAAACCCUUGACCACGGUAUAGUCAGCGACUGGGGUGAAGUCGUAACAAGGUAACCA
RNAcentral lists this ribosomal RNA (1438 nucleotides) under uncultured bacterium. RNAcentral's name for it is "bacterial SSU rRNA". It matches the Rfam family "Bacterial small subunit ribosomal RNA". The record is from RNAcentral.